Molecule: transfer RNA, 82 nt
Organism: Anncaliia algerae PRA339
Lineage: Eukaryota; Fungi; Microsporidia; Tubulinosematidae
Rfam family: tRNA
About the family: Transfer RNA (tRNA) molecules are approximately 80 nucleotides in length. Their secondary structure includes four short double-helical elements and three loops (D, anti-codon, and T loops).
Source: Rfam
GACAAUGUGGUGGAGUGGUUAACACGUUGGAUUGCUAAUCCAUGCCUCAAUUGGUGCGCGAGUUCGAAUCUCGUCAUUGUCG